Molecule: ribosomal RNA, 468 nt
Filed under: uncultured bacterium
Lineage: Bacteria
Description: partial 16S ribosomal RNA
Rfam family: Bacterial small subunit ribosomal RNA
Source: RNAcentral
GACGAACGCUGGCGGCGUGCUUAACACAUGCAAGUCGAACGGAAAGGCCCUGCUUUUGUGGGGUGCUCGAGUGGCGAACGGGUGAGUAACACGUGAGUAACCUGCCCUUGACUUUGGGAUAACUUCAGGAAACUGGGGCUAAUACCGGAUAGGAGCUCCUGCUGCAUGGUGGGGGUUGGAAAGUUUCGGCGGUUGGGGCUGGACUCGCGGCUUAUCAGCUUGUUGGUGGGGUAGUGGCUUACCAAGGCUUUGACGGGUAGCCGGCCUGAGAGGGUGGACGGCCACAUGGGGACUGAGAGACGGACCAGACUCGUACGUGAGGCAGCAGUGGGGAAUAUGGCACAAUGGGCGGAAGCCUGAUGCAGCAACGCCGCGUGCGGGAUGACGGCCUUCGGGUUGUAAACCGCUUUCGCCUGUGACGAAGCGUGAGUGACGGUAAUGGGUAAAGAAGCACCGGCUAACUACGUG